UUGCCAGCGGUGGAGCAUGUGGUUUAUUCGAUGCAACGCGAAGAACCUUACCUACUCUUGACAUCCAGAGAACUUAGCAGAGAUGCUUUGGUGCCUUCGGGAACUCUGAGACAGGUGCUGCAUGGCUGUCGUCAGCUCGUGUUGUGAAAUGUUGGGUUAAGUCCCGCAACGAGCGCAACCCUUAUCCUUUGUUGCCAGCGAUUCGGUCGGGAACUCAAAGGAGACUGCCGGUGAUAAACCGGAGGAAGGUGGGGAUGACGUCAAGUCAUCAUGGCCCUUACGAGUAGGGCUACACACGUGCUACAAUGGCGUAUACAAAGAGAAGCGACCUCGCGAGAGCAAGCGGAACUCAUAAAGUACGUCGUAGUCCGGAUUGGAGUCUGCAACUCGACUCCAUGAAGUCGGAAUCGCUAGUAAUCGUAGAUCACAAUGCGACGGUGAAUACGUUCCCGGGCCUUGUACAACCGUCGGAGU
Molecule: ribosomal RNA, 474 nt
Filed under: Providencia rettgeri
Lineage: Bacteria; Pseudomonadati; Pseudomonadota; Gammaproteobacteria; Enterobacterales; Morganellaceae
Description: bacterial SSU rRNA
Rfam family: Bacterial small subunit ribosomal RNA
Source: RNAcentral